Molecule: ribosomal RNA, 202 nt
Filed under: uncultured Lactobacillus sp.
Lineage: Bacteria; Bacillati; Bacillota; Bacilli; Lactobacillales; Lactobacillaceae
Description: partial 16S ribosomal RNA
Rfam family: Bacterial small subunit ribosomal RNA
Source: RNAcentral
GAUGCUAAUACCGGAUAACAACAGAUGAUGCCUAUCAACUGUUUAAAAGAUGGUUCUGCUAUCACUCUUGGAUGGACCUGCGGUGCAUUAGCUAGUUGGUAGGGUAACGGCCUACCAAGGCGAUGAUGCAUAGCCGAGUUGAGAGACUGAUCGGCCACAUUGGGACUGAGACACGGCCCAAACUCCUACGGGAGCAGCAGCA